CGAAAGUGAAGCUAGAAUGCAGGAGCAGAACAAACGGAACCGUAACAUUGACAAAA
This 56-nucleotide small RNA is filed under the name Arabidopsis thaliana (thale cress). Its description in RNAcentral is "ATSL223040". The record is from RNAcentral. Lineage: Eukaryota; Viridiplantae; Streptophyta; Magnoliopsida; Brassicales; Brassicaceae.